ACCUCGGUGGUGCAGUGGUAGCACGCGUCCACGGUAUGUAUGAAACACGGGUUCGACUCCCGUCUGAAAUU
This is a non-coding RNA of Parelaphostrongylus tenuis, 71 nucleotides long. Lineage: Eukaryota; Metazoa; Nematoda; Chromadorea; Rhabditida; Metastrongylidae. The record is from the annotation of a GenBank genome assembly.